Molecule: transfer RNA, 72 nt
Filed under: Cliona patera
Lineage: Eukaryota; Metazoa; Porifera; Demospongiae; Clionaida; Clionaidae
Description: tRNA-Gln
Rfam family: tRNA
About the family: Transfer RNA (tRNA) molecules are approximately 80 nucleotides in length.
Source: RNAcentral
UAGUGGUUAGCCAAAUGGUAAGGCAUUAAGUUUUGAUCUUAAUUAUUACAGGUUCAAUCCCUGUACCUCUAG